This 253-nucleotide ribosomal RNA is filed under the name uncultured bacterium. RNAcentral's name for it is "partial 16S ribosomal RNA". It matches the Rfam family "Bacterial small subunit ribosomal RNA", at positions 524 to 776 of the family's 1533-position model. The record is from RNAcentral.
UACAGAGGGUGCAAGCGUUAAUCGGAAUUACUGGGCGUAAAGCGUGCGUAGUCGGUUAUUUAAGUCGGGUGUGAAGGCCCCGGGCUCAACCUGGGAAUUGCAUUCGAUACUGGAUAGCUAGAGUUCGGCAGAGGGAAGCGGAAUUUCCGGUGUAGCGGUGAAAUGCGUAGAUAUCGGAAGGAACAUCAGUGGCGAAAGCGGCUUCCUGGACCAGAACUGACGAUCAGGCACGAAAGCGUGGGGAGCAAACAGG